Molecule: ribosomal RNA, 401 nt
Filed under: uncultured bacterium
Lineage: Bacteria
Description: bacterial SSU rRNA
Rfam family: Bacterial small subunit ribosomal RNA
Source: RNAcentral
UGGGGAAUAUUGCACAAUGGGCGAAAGCCUGAUGCAGCAACGCCGCGUGAGCGAAGAAGGCCUUCGGGUCGUAAAGCUCUGUCCUCAAGGAAGAUAAUGACGGUACUUGAGGAGGAAGCCCCGGCUAACUACGUGCCAGCAGCCGCGGUAAUACGUAGGGGGCAAGCGUUAUCCGGAUUCACUGGGCGUAAAGGGUGCGUAGGCGGUCUUACAAGUCAGGAGUGAAAGGCUACGGCUCAACCGUAGUAAGCUCUUGAAACUGUUAGACUUGAGUGCAGGAGAGGAGAGUGGAAUUCCUAGUGUAGCGGUGAAAUGCGUAGAUAUUAGGAGGAACACCAGUUGCGAAGGCGGCUCUCUGGACUGUAACUGACGCUGAGGCACGAAAGCGUGGGGAGCAAACA